Molecule: ribosomal RNA, 301 nt
Filed under: uncultured bacterium
Lineage: Bacteria
Description: partial 16S ribosomal RNA
Rfam family: Bacterial small subunit ribosomal RNA
Source: RNAcentral
CAGCCGCCACGGGAAUACGUAGGUGGCAAGCGUUGUCCGGAAUUAUUGGGCGUAAAGGGCUCGCAGGCGGCUUCUUAAGUCUGAUGUGAAAGCCCCCGGCUCAACCGGGGAGGGUCAUUGGAAACUGGGAAACUUGAGUGCAGAAGAGGAGAGUGGAAUUCCACGUGUAGCGGUGAAAUGCGUAGAGAUGUGGAGGAACACCAGUGGCGAAGGCGACUCUCUGGUCUGUAACUGACGCUGAGGAGCGAAAGCGUGGGGAGCGAACAGGAUUAGAUACCCCAGUAGUCCCUGUCUCUUAUAC